AAGUCGUAACAAGGUUUCCGUAGGUGAACCUGCGGAAGGAUCAUUAACAGUUUAUGUUUGUGUCUGUUGUUGUGAUGUGUGUGAUCUGUGACAAUUGCCAUUUGGUUGGCAAUGUUAUUUUUUUUACUAUGUUUUUUAUCACCUGUCUUAUACCAUACCAUAUACAAUUAUCGAAAACUGCCAGCAAUGGAUCACUCGGUUCUU
RNAcentral lists this unclassified non-coding RNA (204 nucleotides) under fungal sp. RNAcentral describes it as "partial internal transcribed spacer region". The stretch from base 1 to 46 matches the Rfam family "Eukaryotic small subunit ribosomal RNA", at positions 1786 to 1831 of the family's 1831-position model. Lineage: Eukaryota; Fungi. The record is from RNAcentral.